UUUUUAAGCAACAUCUGUAUUUUAUAUAACGGCUGAGUGGAUCCUUGUCAUUUGGUUGGUGCUUUGUAUGUCAUGUGACUAUUCAUUCCAUUUACUGUGUAAUUUGAUUCCAUACAUUUUGUACCAUUGCACGCUGUGAAACA
This is a long non-coding RNA of Thalassophryne amazonica, 143 nucleotides long. RefSeq lists it as uncharacterized. The transcript has 3 exons. The record is from RefSeq and is a predicted model, not a curated record. NCBI's taxonomy places the organism in Eukaryota, Metazoa, Chordata, Actinopteri, Batrachoidiformes, Batrachoididae.